Molecule: long non-coding RNA, 1395 nt
Organism: Anguilla anguilla (European eel)
Lineage: Eukaryota; Metazoa; Chordata; Actinopteri; Anguilliformes; Anguillidae
Exons: 2
Source: RefSeq, a predicted model, not a curated record
GUUUCACAUUUGGAUUAAAUGUCCCAAGACCAGUAAAGAGUAGCUCAGACUUCUGUUGGCAGUAUCGAGACUUUUUAAAACGCUUUUCCUGUUCACGGUUUUUGGACGUUGCUCUAACAUGGAGGCUUUAGGACCCAGCAAGACAUCAAUACGGGGCUUAUCUCUUCUUCUUCCUCCCGUGCACCAUCACCAACGGGAAUCAACCCAUGUUUACAAUCAUGAAUUACGGUCACUCCUGUUUUGUUCUGCACUUAAUUCUACUUUGUUCGUUUGCUAACGGACAGCAUGAAUCCAGGUGGAACGACAGGCCGUUCAUGGUCCUGCAAAACCAGAACUUAGCCCUGCUACUGAGCGUGCUCUCGGUGCUUUUGUUCGUGAUGAUCGUCAUGGCAGUGUUCGUCUACAAACCUUUGCGACACCGGUAAGCCAUGCAGCGACGCGGAUUCAGUGAGCAGUCAUGGAAUCCAGUGCCGGAGGAUUGCAAAACCCUCUUCAGUGAAGACAAUCACCGACACUCCAGAUGCCAUCGCCGUGGAUUUGGACAAGACACAAACAAUAAACUUUCCCCACGCGUUACACGUGACCAAUGUGUACGAAAAGUAUCCGCCUGGCUAUUGUAUAUAUAGCCUACUUUAUUUGAAUACAUCGACGUGUUAUGUUAUUAUUCCUUUAAUUGCGUUUGAUUAAUAUUUUUGACACUGUGUGGCUAGGCCAUAUUCUGAUCCUUUUCUUUAGGCUAAAGGACAAUAAUAUGACAUAGGCUACAAAGCAUGUGUUAAUACUUAAAGCACAGUGUUUAAGUUGUCAGAAGGCCAGAGCAUACCAGUAGGCUCGCCGUAACAAGCCAGAAAGACAGAUUGAAGACAUGGCACGGUAGCAAAGCCAUUUGCUAUGGUAGGCCUGGAUAUGGUGGGAAAUUGGUUCAGUGUAAAGAAACGAUUUUAAAAAAUUCGCUCUGGAUUGGAGCACCUGCUAAAUGACUAAAAUAUAACGCAGUGAAACUGCCAUGAUUGUGUGGUACCUAAAGCGGUUGUACGUCUAAUUUUGUUGUACUUUUUAUUUUCUAUUAUUGAUCUACUGUACUGGAAAAUGUAUUAUUGUAAAUUGGUUAGGGGCCUUAGUUUUUUCUUCUUCUUGUUUUUAACUUGAUCAAAGCUACUGUUUGCCUGACACUGAAACUCCUAAUGCAAUAUUUCACUCAUUCAAUGAUUUGAAUUAUUUAUAUAUUUUUGUAUGCUAUUUAUUUCCCUAUUUUAUUUACUUAAUAUUUGGGGCAACGAUUGAAGUAUUUAUUUUAACAUAAUGGUGUAUAUUAUUUAUUGAUUAUCUUUCUUUGGAUGUGUUACAGUAUCAUCUGUUGAAAAUAAACGACAUGAAAUCACAUCUCACAGUAAA